GCAUUUGGAUCUUGCAAAUCAACGGGGCACGAGACCACCCAUUAGAUAAUGAAGAAAAAACUUCCAAGGAAUAGUCAGAAGCUUUGACCUUGAAUCUGAACCAGGAGUUCCACCUCAGCUAAAAGGUACAUUUCAAGUCUCCAGUGAAGAAAACCUUCCCUCAGAACUAUUUUAUGCAGCCAUUUCUGAUGUGUCCCUUAGCUGAUCCUGGCUGAAUCUCACACCCUAGUGAUGAAUUGAUCUUUGGCUCCUCCCUG
Molecule: long non-coding RNA, 257 nt
Filed under: Gallus gallus (chicken)
Lineage: Eukaryota; Metazoa; Chordata; Aves; Galliformes; Phasianidae
Source: RNAcentral